This 253-nucleotide ribosomal RNA is filed under the name uncultured bacterium. RNAcentral's name for it is "partial 16S ribosomal RNA". It matches the Rfam family "Bacterial small subunit ribosomal RNA", at positions 524 to 776 of the family's 1533-position model. The record is from RNAcentral.
UACGUAGGGUGCGAGCGUUAAUCGGAAUUACUGGGCGUAAAGCGCACGCAGGUGGCUGAGUCAGUCGAUUGUGAAAGCCCUGGGCUUAACCUGGGAAUUGCAGUCGAUACUACUCAGCUAGAGUAUGGGAGAGGGUAGUGGAAUUCCCGGUGUAGCGGUGAAAUGCGUAGAUAUCGGGAGGAACAUCAGUGGCGAAGGCGGCUACCUGGCCCAAUCCUGACACUCAGGUGCGACAGCGUGGGGAGCAAACAGG